UACGGAGGAUCCAAGCGUUAUCCGGAUUUACUGGGCGUAAAGAGCGCGCAGGCGGUCGUUCAAGUCGCGUGUGAAAGCCCCCGGCUCACCUGGGGAGGGUCACGCGAUACUGAUCGACUCGAAGGCAGGAGAGGGUAGUGGAAUUCCCGGUGUAGUGGUGAAAUGCGUAGAUAUCGGGAGGAACACCAGUGGCGAAGGCGACUACCUGGCCUGUUCUUGACGCUGAGGCGCGAAAGCUAGGGGAGCAAACGGG
Molecule: ribosomal RNA, 253 nt
Filed under: uncultured bacterium
Lineage: Bacteria
Description: partial 16S ribosomal RNA
Rfam family: Bacterial small subunit ribosomal RNA
Source: RNAcentral